AACCCCAUAAAGAAGCGGGCAAAGUAAGGUCUUUGAGGAACAUGGAUGCUUAUUGCCUCUGCCUUCCUUGGCUGCCUACAUGA
Chlorocebus sabaeus (green monkey) is the source of this 83-nucleotide small nucleolar RNA. The record is from Ensembl. Lineage: Eukaryota; Metazoa; Chordata; Mammalia; Primates; Cercopithecidae.